GAAUUUGUCUUUGUAUGUCUGACUUAUUUCACUAGGCUUAAUACCCUCCAGGUCCAUCGGUGUUGGAAUAAUGUUGCCCGACACUUUGCCAGAAAUACUCAGACACCCUUAAACCUCUCUCACCCGUGGACACAGCUGAGGAUGCACUGGGGACCCAGACUCCAACCUCCUAGCUUCAGCCCCAGGGGAUGAACCUGGCUUCUUAAGAUGGGGAAUGGACACAGAGAGGUUAAACCACUCAGCCUACGUUACACGGCCUGUUGUGAAUUGGGGCCGGGGCUCAGACCUGCCACACUGACUCUGAUAACACCCUGCGUGGACCAGAUGGUGUAGGAC
Long non-coding RNA from Bos taurus (domestic cattle), 336 nucleotides. NCBI's taxonomy places the organism in Eukaryota, Metazoa, Chordata, Mammalia, Artiodactyla, Bovidae. The record is from Ensembl.